UACAGAGGGUGCGAGCGUUAAUCGGAAUUACUGGGCGUAAAGCGCGCGUAGGCGGUUUUGCAAGUCGAGUGUGAAAUCCCCAGGCUUAACCUGGGAACUGCAUUCGAGACUGCAUAGCUAGAGUAUGGGAGAGGGAAGUGGAAUUUCAGGUGUAGCGGUGAAAUGCGUAGAUAUUCGGAGGAACACCAGAGGCGAAAGCGGCGCACUGGACGGCUAACUGACACUCAACUGCGAAAGCGUGGGGAGCAAACAGG
This 254-nucleotide ribosomal RNA is filed under the name uncultured bacterium. RNAcentral describes it as "partial 16S ribosomal RNA". It matches the Rfam family "Bacterial small subunit ribosomal RNA", at positions 524 to 776 of the family's 1533-position model. The record is from RNAcentral.